Non-coding RNA from Arachis ipaensis, 2256 nucleotides. Lineage: Eukaryota; Viridiplantae; Streptophyta; Magnoliopsida; Fabales; Fabaceae. The record is from RefSeq and is a predicted model, not a curated record.
CUAUAUAUAUGUUCAUGGCUGCAAGCAUUUGGCAACGACACAAGUCAUUCACAUCCUAAAGCAUAAGAAACUCAAAUACUUGCAUCUUAUUUACAAGUCAUUUGAAAAACUAGUAUUUCUUCAACACAUACAAAAAUGGGUUUUCGGUUACCCGGUAUUGUAAGAAAGGCAUCAUUUACUUCAUCUUCAAAAGCUAUGGAAAUUCCAAAAGGUUAUCUUGCAGUUUAUGUUGGAGAGAAAAUGAAGCGGUUUGUGAUCCCCAUAUCAUACUUGAACCAGCCUUCAUUUCAAGACUUGCUAAGUCAAGCUGAGGAAGAAUUUGGUUAUGAUCAUCCAAUGGGUGGCCUCACAAUUCCUUGUGAAGAAAAUAUGUUCUUAGAUAUCACUUCUCGCUUGAGUUGAUGCUAGCACCAUCAAGAUUAGGCUGACUUAGAAAUAGAUUACUUAACACAAUUUUUGUAGCAAUUUCUUACCCUGAGAAAGUUUUUCUCCAUUUUUUGUAUCCUACUAUGAAACUCAAUGAGAAAUUUAUGCACAUAAACAAAUGUCUCCCAUUUUCUCCUUAAAUAUAAAUGUACUCUUAAGUUCAAAGGCAAUAAUAAGCUGAAGUGCGGUUCAUAAAAUCAAUUUUCAUGAUGUGGUUUACAAUAAAAGAAAAGGAAAGCAGUAGAUAACUUUCAUGAUUUAAUAAUGAUGAUGCUAUACUCCUAAGUAAAAAAGUUAUUAUAAGAAAAGCAGUAACUAAGUAUGAAUUUGCAUAAUAUUAGUUUUAAUAAUGAGAACGACUAAGUAUGAAUUUGCAUAAUAUUAAUUUUAAUAAUGAGAACGUUUUUGGCCAGUUCAAUUAUCCAAUUAUCACUAUAGGAUGAUUAAACAGCUUCAAGGAUCAGUCCCUGUAUUUGCCAUGUCCCACUUUGCUUUUAUCUGUCUUUGAAAUCUGUGUGGACCCUUCCCAAUUUGUACAUAGUGGUCACUAAAAUGUGGCCUCUGAAAUUACAAUUGAGAUUGAAACACUAAUCCAGUUGUAUUCCAUAAUGUGAUGUUAACAUUGUAUUAUGAGUUACAUUUGUUUGCUGCAAUCAACUAAUGACCCCAUUUCUUCAUGUGACUGAGGCCCCAUUUUUUCUAUGACAGAAGAUUCCUCAAUUUUGAGUCACACAGCAUCCUCACAUGAACAUGUUAUUUGGUUUGAGGGCCACAACAAAAUUAUAUCCAAGUGACUGGUUCCUCACUGAUCCAUAUUCACCACAAAAGCAUCUGAAGAUAUCUUAAUCCACUUAUUCAUUGCUAUAUUUCCUUCUUUCCAAUAACCAAAUAGACUAAGGGCCAGUGACUUGUGUAACAGCUGUCAUGAGUAUGAAGCUAAAACCAUUAUCAAACUUUCCACUUUUGGUCUUUCUUGGUAUGAUACAAUGGUUUUUACAAAAAUUCAGAAUAAUAAAAAGGAAUCUAACUGUUGUAUGAUCUUUAUCCAAGAAAAAAGAAGGAAUUCAAUGCAUGUAUAAGUUUAAAUCCAUAGUCUGAUUGGAGCAUACUAUGAACUUUAUGAACAUAUAUACUAGCAUGUUAUCAUGUAUGUUAUGUUGGUUCUCUUUGUAACACUACUUUUCAAAGUCAAUCUGGUAUAAGUUGGCACCUCACAGAUGCAUGUCAACAUCAAUGUCAAUCUAAGAGAACGUGUGAUGUCUAAAGCAUAUCUACUAAUAGAUUAUGUAUGGUUUAAUGCAUGGACAUAUUUUUGGUGUCACCUAUGCUAUGCAUAUGUCUUUGCUUUCAAGAGGGUAAUUUGUUAGCCACUAAAAAUAUCAAUCAUAUAUCAUUCUGCAAAAAAUUCUUUUCCCAAACGGCUCAAACAUGCAUUGUGCAAGGUAGAAUUGAAAUAAAUUUAAAGUCCAGAGUCACAUCCAAAUCAUAAAAAGAAGAGAGAAAAAAACAGGGCAUCCCAGAACUAUCAAAUGGCAAAACUCAAUUGCCCGAAAUUCAAUAGCAGAAAAAUAGCUUGGGAAAUAAAGAAAAACCAACUUUUCCAAAACCAAUUCAUUCCCAAGAUAAUCAAAAACUAACAUCACAAUUAAAAAGCAAACCCUUUUUCUUUUCGCGGACUUGAAAAUAUUCAAUAACAGCAAUGAUUUGCACAAAAAAAAAACAUCUUUACAAUGGACCCCGACGUUAAGUAACAAAAUGCAAAAGAUUUGAACAGAGAAACAUCUUUAUAAAGAGAACCAACAAAAAAAGGGGGGGAGGGGGGGAGAUCCA